Molecule: ribosomal RNA, 983 nt
Filed under: uncultured bacterium
Lineage: Bacteria
Description: bacterial SSU rRNA
Rfam family: Bacterial small subunit ribosomal RNA
Source: RNAcentral
AGUCGAGGGGUAACGACAUCUUCGGAUGGGCGACGACCGGCGCACGGGUGCGUAACGCGUAUGCAACCUACCUUUAACUGGAGGAUAGCCCCGAGAAAUCGGGAUUAAUACUCCAUAGAAAUGAGAUUCGGCAUCGUUUUUCAUUUAAAGCUCCGGCGGUUAGAGAUGGGCAUGCGUGACAUUAGUUAGUUGGUGAGGUAACGGCUCACCAAGACUACGAUGUCUAGGGGUUCUGAGAGGAUGAUCCCCCACACUGGUACUGAGACACGGACCAGACUCCUACGGGAGGCAGCAGUGAGGAAUAUUGGUCAAUGGACGCAAGUCUGAACCAGCCAUGCCGCGUGCAGGAUGACGGCCCUAUGGGUUGUAAACUGCUUUUAUUAAGGAAUAAACCCCCGGACUUGUUCGGGGCUGAACGUACUUAAAGAAUAAGCAUCGGCUAACUCCGUGCCAGCAGCCGCGGUAAUACGGAGGAUGCAAGCGUUAUCCGGAUUCAUUGGGUUUAAAGGGUUCGCAGGCGGCGUAUUAAGUCAGUGGUGAAAUCCCUCGGCUCAACCGAGGAACUGCCAUUGAUACUGGUAUGCUAGAGUAUAGUUGGCGUAGGCGGAAUAUUUCAUGUAGCGGUGAAAUGCUUAGAUAUGAAAUAGAACACCGAUCGCGAAGGCAGCUUACGAAACUAUAACUGACGCUCAGGAACGAAAGCGUGGGGAGCGAACAGGAUUAGAUACCCUGGUAGUCCACGCUGUAAACGAUGAUUACUCGUUGUCGGCGAUACACAGUCGGUGGCUAAGCGAAAGUGAUAAGUAAUCCACCUGGGGAGUACGAUCGCAAGGUUGAAACUCAAAGGAAUUGACGGGGGCCCGCACAAGCGGAGGAGCAUGUGGUUUAAUUCGAUGAUACGCGAGGAACCUUACCUGGGCUUAAAUGUAGAGUGCAUGAUUGGGAAACCAGUCUUUUCUUCGGAACUCUUUACAGUGCUGCAU